UCCAUGCAAAUUAUGAUGCAUUCCUCUGUAUUAUUAAAUGAAGUGAACCUAGGCUGAACAUAUGCUGUUUCCUACAUUUCAUAUGCACCUACUUAAACUGUAGAAUAUAUUACAAGUAUUUGCUACUUCCAAGGACGUAAAAGGAAGGUAGACAACAGAGAAUUACAACAGCUUGCUGAUCGUUUUUGGGAUGAGUCUGAAGAUGUGGAUCCAUUUCAAGAUAGUGGUUUUGAAUACUCCCCUCAUAUGACUUCAGAAUCUAACAUGGAUGAAAGUAACUACCUUCAGGAGAAUUUGGAGAGCUCAAGUUGUGAUCAAGAAAAUACUGAACCAGAAGUUGAUGACGGCACAUAAGGAAACCUAAAAGGGCAUUUAUGUCAAAUGCAAAUUUUAUAAAAAUGUAAAAAAAAAGAAAUGUUCUUGCAUAUUUGUGUUGUCAUUUAAAUAAUAAUUUAAUUCAAAAAAAGAAAAACUUUUUAUAAAUCAAAAAGUUGAUGUGAAAGGGUUAAUAACCUAUUAAAUUUUUUUCCAUUAAAUUCAAAUUGCUUCCAAUUUUACACACACACACACAAAAAAAAAGGGGGGGGAGAGAGAGAGACAGAGCAGGAAUGACUCUUAAAAGAGGCAAUGCUCAGCUGCAUAUGCUAUGAAUAUAAUGCAGCAUGACCAAAAAAUAGUCAUCAUUAACAAAUCUCCAUCAUGCUUCUCAUAACUUGAAAAUAUCUGCAAUGUGGUACUCUGUAUUUUGUGCAGAAUUUUCAGCUUCAGAACCCCUAAUAUGAUUCAAUUGUCUGAGUGUCUGCAGGAUUGACAAAGUUUAUUGAUAGUUUACAGUUUGAUGAUUGUAGGAUAUUAUCACAAAAGCAGCAAAUUGCAUAAUAUAACAAUACCAGACAUUCCAUAAUUUAUUUCCCAUUUACAAAUUUACAGGAUAAUUUUAUUUAAGAUAACAAAUAAUUAAUCUAAUCUCUUAUCUUAACCUAAUUUAUCUGCUUAUCUUAUAAAAUAAUUUUUGGAAACGCUAUUCAAAUUAUUCCAAAAUUUUAAUUGAUAAAAAUCUAUCAACAAAGUCUAAAAUUAAUAAAACAACACAAUAAAGACUAUUUACAGUAAACAGCAACAAAAUUUAAAAUGAAGAUUGAGUGUGGUAAAUCUUGAAGCACUGAGAAGUAUCAUUUUCUAACUCUUAGAAAAAGUAUCACUUUCUAACUCUUAGAAAAAGUAUCACUUUCGAACUCUUUAGAAAAUGAAUCAUCACUCUCAUCUGUGUUAGUACAUGGUUCAUUAACCAUACAAGGAUAUUUUUUCUCUGAUAAACAGUGCUUUCCCGCCAUAAUAGACGGAAGGUGAGGCUUUCUGAAAUAAAAAGAAAAGAAACAGAAAUAUAUCUGAAGGCAAUGCAAAACGUAACAGAACUCCACAUAGUAACCCUAAAACCCAUACAAAGCAGAGGAAAAAUAGAAUGAAAAUAAGAACUGGAUAUAAAUUAGACACAUGAAUGUUUAUAUUAGCAUGUGGGGAUUUAAAGAGCCCAUUUAUGUUUAUGCUUUCUCCCCCCCCCCAUCCUCACAACAGUUGAGGAGUAAAAUACUAAAGUCAGGCAGAACCAUUCAAACUCAAGGUCAGGAACCUAAAACUGUGUUCAUUUCAAAAGUAAUGGUCAUAGGAUGCCAUCUAGUGGUCUUCAGAAAAACAUUCCAGCUUAAAAUGUGUAUAUGCAGCAUCCGUCCUCUGAAUGCAAUCUCUAGUGAUGCGUGGAUGGAACACCCGGCUGUAACAGACGUUCUCUUAGGAAAUGCGUAUAUGGGACGCUCGUUCUGAAGGGGUUAAACAAGGACUGCAACAAGGUUUUCUCUCACUUGGCACUAUAUCUUAUUCUACCACAACAUCAGAUCUGCAUACUAAAAACAACCUUUAGAUGUUGCUGUAUGUUGACCACUUCAUGUGGCAAUUAUGUAACAAACUCUAAACUGAUAUGGUGCAUGCCACACGCAUCUGUUAAUCAGUCAAAUAUCUUUUUAAGGUGUUUACUCUCCAAAGAUUAUGGACAUAGAAUUCUGUAUCGAAGGAUGGCUUUCCCAUUUGUUACACAUGAAAAUUUCUCCCAGAUCUUUAUUCUGAUUUCUCACUAGAUGUAUACUAAAAAAAAAAAAAAAAAAAAAAAAAAAAAAAAAAAAAAAAA
RNAcentral lists this long non-coding RNA (2182 nucleotides) under Stegodyphus dumicola. RNAcentral's name for it is "uncharacterized LOC118190220". The record is from RNAcentral. Lineage: Eukaryota; Metazoa; Arthropoda; Arachnida; Araneae; Eresidae.